Molecule: long non-coding RNA, 578 nt
Filed under: Chinchilla lanigera (long-tailed chinchilla)
Lineage: Eukaryota; Metazoa; Chordata; Mammalia; Rodentia; Chinchillidae
Description: lncRNA (ENSCLAG00000025299.1)
Source: RNAcentral
GAAAAUGAGACUAGAACCUACAAACCUAUAAAUAAAACCUUAAUAUUUGUUCUGUUUGAAGCCACUCUCAUCAGAGCGAAUGCAAAACAACUCAUCACAGAGACACCUUCACCAGGAACUUCUUCACCUUAUGAAAUGGCAAAGUUCAAGCAUAUUAAAGGGAAUCUCAGAGAACAUAAGCACUGACAUUGCCUCAAGUUCUUAUUCUUCCCACAAAACCCAAGUCUGCUUCUACAGAGUCACUCCGACUAGAGCAGUCCAUAGUGAGCGCCAUAACACUCUGAGAUUCUGAGUCCUCCUCUGUGAGCACAGCAUAUAGGGUAAGACUUUUGGGUGAGAAAGCUGUGCCCGGCGGCUACGAGCUGGCAGCAGAGAUACAGCACGGGGAUGACCAAGACCUUAGACACUUUGACAACAGCCAGAAUAAAUGAUGCUUGCAACUUUGUCUACACGUAAUUUCCAUGAAGAAGCUCAACACACCAUAUUUCUUUUUGCAGAAAUAAGAAAAAUAAUGUAAAGAAGAUGAAAAAUCUGUCCAAGUCAUUGCUUUGUCUUACAGAUUAAAGAAAGAUGAGAAA